AGCGAUCUUGGCGCAGUGAGUCUUUUCUUCUCUGUCGUCCACUAUUGAUUUUGUGUGGAAAAUGUAUGUAUUAUUGAUAUUACAAGUUGAUACAACUACAUUGAUCUAAUGACUAUCACAGAAUAAGAGAGUAAAAGGCAUUUAGACUAUAGGUUCGAUAUGAAAAGAUUGAGAUCCCCUUUUCCUUUUCCUUGGUUAUCCUUUUAUAGGUGAUGGGGGGUGGAUCAUAACAGCGACGUGAUUUCCAGCGAGUACCAAAGUUAGCAUUUAUUGCUCUGAUAUCCUUUAGUUUCGGUUUUACCAUGUCAGCAGAGCAUGCGCUGUCCGUGUAGCUUGGGAUGGGGCUACCUCCUUCGUGGACCAAUUGUCUUCUUCCAGAAAUUUUUGAAACUUGCCUCUAACAAUAGCCCCUUGGCAGCCCAACAUGUCUCAUGUUGUCAGAUAGGUUGGGUAUUGGUUGUGACUGGUGUGGGAUAUUUGAGACUGCUGGUUUAUAAAUUUCAAAACCCGAUUCAAGAUUUUGGUUUGUUAAUUAAUUACGAGAUUUGGUUGAUGUAAAUCAAGAUCUUUGAUUUUUCCUCUUUGGAAAGUUUGAAUCACCCGUGGCGUGACAAUCUUUUCUUUUUGCGGUUUCUAAUUUUUGGAUAUAAAUGCGCGUCUUGCUUUCUAAUCUCUCACUUUUGCUAUUUGGGAGAAACUCUAAGUUGUCUCUGUAUAUACUCUUCUUUCGACAUGGUGUGUCCCAGUGUUGUCUUCCCCAACCUUGCCAUGUCGGCUGAGGCCGCUAGGAAAAGGGAGGAGAAAGCGAAGGCUACAUUGGACCCGACUACUCAUUGGGCUGCUCCGGAGGUGGUGAAUCGAGAGGCUGUUCCCAAAAUAUUGGGGAUAAGGCCAUUUCUACGAAGGCAACCAAGCCUAACUCUCCUGCUAGAACCAUAGCUCAUGAGGCUACCAUAUAGAGUUUUUUUGAGUCGCUAAGGCUGAUGAGCCUACUCAAAUGCCUCUUACACCUACUGUGAUGCUUUCUCCACCUCCCAUAUGUCCAUAUGUUCUAUCUCGGAGUCUGUAGUGCGAGAAUCUGCUACAUGGGCCUCUCAUCGUUCUUCCGAGAGACAAGAUCUGAGGUCGGUUUCAGACCCUAUAUCUUCAAGGGAUUUCCCAAGGUCUUUGAGGGUGCCUUCGUCCUCUAAUAGAGAUCGUCAUCAGCUUUUGGAGAUUGGCUCCGAGAAAUGUUCUGCUCCUGGCUCCGAGGUCGAGAUCUUUUUGUCUCAAAGAGGCUUUGAACGGAUGACGGAAUGAGCUCUUGGGUUCUUCUGUCGUGAUCUGCUCAGAAAGGUGCGUAAGCCAUUUCUUUUGAGUUUUCGAGCAACAUUCAUUUACCUAAUGGCAUGAAGGGUUUUAUGUGCCUUCACAACAAUAUUUGCUUGCUGUGAUCUUAACUUUCCAGGGGAGAUGAUCUCCCAUCACGACGUCUACGAGGGUGUUUACCAAUCCAACGCCGAGCAUAUGGGUUGGGUGAAGCACACCCAAUCGCUAUAUGAAAAAAAAAGAUUCAUGUUGCUAGGGGGAAGAUGGCUGCAGUCAAGAAAUACGUCCUCCAUUAUCUGGAUGCAUUGAAGGCGGAGCGGGUUGAAAACCAGGAGUUGUCUACCUACAAUGUUGCUCUGAAGGGUAAGCUCAAGCAACUAGAGACUGAGGCAAAAGCUAAAAAGGAGAGGGUCAAAGAGCUCGAGGAUUCUAAAUAUGGUAUCCGAGCUUGCAUCAAUGUCGUAAGGAGGGCUCUAUCAGACCAAGGUUGCAGCUGAGAAUUUUGACACCGAUGUCAUAAAGGAUCUAGCAGACACUCAGAGGGAAAGUAAGAAGCUCGUUAAAGAGCUCAUAAGGAGGAGUUCCAGAGGCUGAAUGAAUCAAGAUCCAGAAGGUUUAGAAAAAAAGGCUUGUCAAGCUGCAGCGGUGAAAUACCAGUCGCAUUUUGAUCAGAUAUGUGAGCUUUGGCCGAUUCUAAGAUCGUAAAGGAGAAUGCCUUGUUGAUGUCUCAGGCGGCUAGUCAGUCAGGUUUGAUCGAUAAGAUGACACAAAGGGGACUCGUGGGUCAUGUGGCAGAUCAGGAGAUAUGGGUGCAGUCUCUCAAGAAUUUCUAAGUGAAGAUCGACGAGAUAGACAUCGUCCAACUAGAUCCAUAAAAGGAUCUAAGCGUCUCACCCGUUUCUGAUGUCUCCAGCUGAAAUAGCCUCCCUUUGGGGCCAAUUCCUGAGCUAAAUCCUAUCGAUGAUUAAGAGGUCAGGAAUUAGACCGUCAUGUCAGAAACUGUGACCAUUCCAGGAUGGUCGAGUUGAGGAUCCUCCUGCUGACCAGAAGAAGACCGAUGCAACAACCGCUGAGGAGCCUCUGGAUAUAGAUCAGUUUGACUCGAAACUCGUCUGUAACUCCGUUGUGGAUGUUUCGGGCGCUGCCACAACCAAUCGGGCUCAAGAAUAGGCCUUUUUUGUUUUUCUUUAUGUUGAAUAUUUUGAACCAGUGAGAGUUUAAAUCCACGAACGUGCCUCAGAAGGCUUUAUCUAAAUAAUUUUAUUUUCCUUA
This is a long non-coding RNA of Brassica napus (rape), 2580 nucleotides long. RefSeq lists it as uncharacterized. The transcript has 3 exons. NCBI's taxonomy places the organism in Eukaryota, Viridiplantae, Streptophyta, Magnoliopsida, Brassicales, Brassicaceae. The record is from RefSeq and is a predicted model, not a curated record.